GACGAACGCUGGCGGCGUGCCUAAUACAUGCAAGUAGAACGCUGAAGGAGGAGCUUGCUUCUCUGGAUGAGUUGCGAACGGGUGAGUAACGCGUAUGUAACCUGCCUGGUAGCGGGGGAUAACUAUUGGAAACGAUAGCUAAUACCGCAUAAGAGUAGAUGUUGCAUGACAUUUGCUUAAAAUGUGCAAUUUCAUCACUACCAGAUGGACCUGCGUUGGAUUAUCUAGUUGGUGAGGUAACGGCUCAACAAGGCGACGAUACAUAGCCGACCUGAGAGGGUGAUCGGCCAACAUGGGACUGAGGCAACGCCCAGAAUCCUACGGGAGGCAGCAGUAGGGAAUCUUCGGCAAUGGACGGAAGUCUGAACCAGCCAAGACGGGUGAGUGAAGAAGGUUUUCGGAUCGUAAAGCUCUGUUGUAAGAGAAGAACGAGUGUCAGAGUGGAAAGUUCACACUGUGACGGUACCUUAAGAGAAAGGGACGGCUAACUACGUG
This 495-nucleotide ribosomal RNA is filed under the name uncultured bacterium. Its description in RNAcentral is "partial 16S ribosomal RNA". It matches the Rfam family "Bacterial small subunit ribosomal RNA", at positions 28 to 507 of the family's 1533-position model. The record is from RNAcentral.